Molecule: ribosomal RNA, 1400 nt
Filed under: Escherichia coli
Lineage: Bacteria; Pseudomonadati; Pseudomonadota; Gammaproteobacteria; Enterobacterales; Enterobacteriaceae
Description: partial 23S ribosomal RNA
Rfam family: Bacterial large subunit ribosomal RNA
Source: RNAcentral
GGGUUGUGAGGUUAAGCGACUAAGCGUACACGGUGGAUGCCCUGGCAGUCAGAGGCGAUGAAGGACGUGCUAAUCUGCGAUAAGCGUCGGUGAGGUGAUAUGAACCGUUAUAACCGGCGAUUUCCGAAUGGGGAAACCCAGUGUGUUUCGACACACUAUCAUUAACUGAAUCCAUAGGUUAAUGAGGCGAACCGGGGGAACUGAAACAUCUAAGUACCCCGAGGAAAAGAAAUCAACCGAGAUUCCCCCAGUAGCGGCGAGCGAACGGGGAGGAGCCCAGAGCCUGAAUCAGUGUGUGUGUUAGUGGAAGCGUCUGGAAAGGCGUGCGAUACAGGGUGACAGCCCCGUACACAAAAAUGCACAUAUUGUGAGCUCGAUGAGUAGGGCGGGACACGUGGUAUCCUGUCUGAAUAUGGGGGGACCAUCCUCCAAGGCUAAAUACUCCUGACUGACCGAUAGUGAACCAGUACCGUGAGGGAAAGGCGAAAAGAACCCCGGCGAGGGGAGUGAAAAAGAACCUGAAACCGUGUACGUACAAGCAGUGGGAGCCUCUUAAUGGGGUGACUGCGUACCUUUUGUAUAAUGGGUCAGCGACUUAUAUUCUGUAGCAAGGUUAACCGAAUAGGGGAGCCGAAGGGAAACCGAGUCUUAACUGGGCGUUAAGUUGCAGGGUAUAGACCCGAAACCCGGUGAUCUAGCCAUGGGCAGGUUGAAGGUUGGGUAACACUAACUGGAGGACCGAACCGACUAAUGUUGAAAAAUUAGCGGAUGACUUGUGGCUGGGGGUGAAAGGCCAAUCAAACCGGGAGAUAGCUGGUUCUCCCCGAAAGCUAUUUAGGUAGCGCCUCGUGAAUUCAUCUCCGGGGGUAGAGCACUGUUUCGGCAAGGGGGUCAUCCCGACUUACCAACCCGAUGCAAACUGCGAAUACCGGAGAAUGUUAUCACGGGAGACACACGGCGGGUGCUAACGUCCGUCGUGAAGAGGGAAACAACCCAGACCGCCAGCUAAGGUCCCAAAGUCAUGGUUAAGUGGGAAACGAUGUGGGAAGGCCCAGACAGCCAGGAUGUUGGCUUAGAAGCAGCCAUCAUUUAAAGAAAGCGUAAUAGCUCACUGGUCGAGUCGGCCUGCGCGGAAGAUGUAACGGGGCUAAACCAUGCACCGAAGCUGCGGCAGCGACACUAUGUGUUGUUGGGUAGGGGAGCGUUCUGUAAGCCUGUGAAGGUGGCCUGUGAGGGUUGCUGGAGGUAUCAGAAGUGCGAAUGCUGACAUAAGUAACGAUAAAGCGGGUGAAAAGCCCGCUCGCCGGAAGACCAAGGGUUCCUGUCCAACGUUAAUCGGGGCAGGGUGAGUCGACCCCUAAGGCGAGGCCGAAAGGCGUAGUCGAUGGGAAACAGGUUAA